RNAcentral lists this ribosomal RNA (253 nucleotides) under uncultured bacterium. Its description in RNAcentral is "partial 16S ribosomal RNA". It matches the Rfam family "Bacterial small subunit ribosomal RNA", at positions 524 to 776 of the family's 1533-position model. The record is from RNAcentral.
GACGAACCGUGCGAACGUUGUUCGGAAUCACUGGGCUUAAAGGGCGCGUAGACGGGCUGCCAAGUCUGGGGUGAAAUCCCACGGCUCAACCGUGGAACUGCCUCGGAUACUGGCGGCCUCGAGGGGGGUAGGGGCGUGCGGAACUGUGGGUGGAGCGGUGAAAUGCGUUGAUAUCCACAGGAACUCCGGUGGCGAAGGCGGCACGCUGGACCUCUUCUGACGCUGAGGCGCGAAAGCCAGGGGAGCAAACGGG